Molecule: ribosomal RNA, 253 nt
Filed under: uncultured marine bacterium
Lineage: Bacteria
Also listed under: 1 other name
Description: partial 16S ribosomal RNA
Rfam family: Bacterial small subunit ribosomal RNA
Source: RNAcentral
UACGAAAGGUGCAAGCGUUAAUCGGAAUUACUGGGCGUAAAGCGCGCGUAGGCGGCUUGGUAAGUUGGAUGUGAAAGCCCCGGGCUCAACCUGGGAACUGCAUCCAAAACUGCCUAGCUAGAGUAUGGUAGAGGAUGGCGGAAUUUCCUGUGUAGCGGUGAAAUGCGUAGAUAUAGGAAGGAACAUCAGUGGCGAAGGCGGCCAUCUGGACCAAUACUGACGCUGAGGUGCGAAAGCGUGGGGAGCAAACAGG